Non-coding RNA from Podarcis lilfordi (Lilford's wall lizard), 178 nucleotides. The record is from the annotation of a GenBank genome assembly. NCBI's taxonomy places the organism in Eukaryota, Metazoa, Chordata, Lepidosauria, Squamata, Lacertidae.
GACUCCAUGGGCCCAAUGGUGCCUGUGGGCAUCUCACUGGAGGUUGGGCAUUGGGCAUUGCUGCUUACAAGGUAAAAAAGGUAAAGGGGGACGCGGGUGGUGCUGUGGUCUAAAACCACUGAACCUCUUGGGCUUGACGAUCAGAAGGUCGGAGGUUCGAAUCCCCACAAUGGGGUGA